Molecule: long non-coding RNA, 5431 nt
Filed under: Nicotiana benthamiana
Lineage: Eukaryota; Viridiplantae; Streptophyta; Magnoliopsida; Solanales; Solanaceae
Description: long non-coding RNA (NBEN_LNC023785)
Source: RNAcentral
CUUCACUCCAGGCAGUGGGAUAAGUGCAAUAACAUGGUUAUCUCCUGGCUCACAAAUUCUCUCACACCAGAGAUAGCCGAGAGUGUUCAGUAUUCUGACACUGCUCAAAGUAUUUGGAAUCAACUUAACAAUAGGUAUGGGACAGUCAAUGGGACAAAAUUUUUUGAAAUAAAACAAGAGUUAACAUCUACUACUCAGGGAUCCUUAGACAUAGCGUCCUACUUCAACAAAUUGAAAAGAUUAUGGGAUGAACUGGGAUUUAUGCGAGCCUCACGAGGUAGUACAUGUACAUGUGCUGCCAGGCUUGAAUUUCAAAAGGAGGAUGAUGAGAAUAAAUUGCACCAAUUCAUCAUGGGGCUUAAUGACACAUAUGUUGGUGUUAGGGGUAAUAUCCUUAUGCUACAGCCUCCACCAUCCUUAGACAGUGCAUAUAAUAUACUGCUUCAGGAUAAAAGGCAAAGACAAGUCACUCGUGCACCAUCCCAAUUUCGUAGUGACUCCAGUGCUUUUAGCACUUAUUUCAUAUGAUGAAAGGCAAAGACAAGUCACCCAUGCACCAUCCCAAUUUCGUAGUGACUCCAGUGCUUUUAGCACUUAUUUCAUAAAUAAAUCCUCUGGAGCACCUUCACAUCCUAAGCAGUUCACUCAGAGACUCAGUUUUGACACCACCAAAACAAAUCCAGUAUGUAGAUAUUGCAAAAAAACCUGGUCAUUUGAUUGACAAAUGCUACAAGCUACACGGGUUUCCACCAGAUUUCAAGUUUACAAGAAACAAGAGAACUGAUGCAAGUGUUGAGGUGCAAGGGUGUGUAAAUUCUGCUGAUUCCUCAAACAUGGGUGAAAGAAAUCAGGGGUGUUCUGAUUCAGAUUCUGUGAUUCCUGGAUUAGCAAUGGAACAAUACUCACAACUCAUGGUGCUGCUCCAACAGACACAAGUCUCAGAAUCUCAACAUCAAUCAAGUCUUAUGGCAUCUGCAAACUUUGCUGGUACACUCUCUUCUUCUCUCAAUCCUCUAAGAAAUGUGUCCUAUGGAGCAUGCAUGUUAACUAGAGUUAGUGCAUGCAUUUGGAUUAUAGAUUCUGGUGGCACUGACCACAUGACUUCCAAUAAAUCUCUUCUGUUUGACAUCAAACCAUUAGUUAUACCAUACUUAGUUACCUUACCUAAUGGUUACAAAGUUAAGGUAACAUGUACUGGAUCCAUUAAAUUUCUUUGCUUCACCUUACAUCAUGUCCUCUAUAUUCCCAGCUUUCAUUACAAUCUCAUUUCUGUCUCUAAACUUGUUCAACAACUGAAUUCUAUUGUCCUAUUCACUAAAUUUUCUUGCUUGAUACAGGCCCCUUCUCUGAAGAGGCCACUGAAAAUUGGUAAGCUGGAUGAUGGUCUUUACAGGCUUGUGCAAUCUUCCCUUUCUCCUCCUUCUUCUCAAUCCUAUACUCCUUGUAAUUACCAUUCUCCAUUAGUUGUUGCUUCUGUUUCUUCCUCUAAUUGUACAUAUCAUUCUGAAUUGAAUAAAAUGGAGAUAUUAUGGCAUAACAGACUAGGCCACAUUACUUUUGUUAGAAUGAAAGACAUUUCUUCUAUUCCAUGCAAAUUUGCAAACAAACAACCUUUUAUAUGUACUGUGUCCCAAUUAGCAAGACAGUCUAGAUUGCCCUUUCCUGAAAUUCCCAUAAAAACAACACAGCCUUUUCAACUCAUCCAUAUAGAUACCUGGGGUCCUUAUGCCACUGCCACCCAUAAUGGAUGUAAAUAUUUUCUAACAAUAGUUGAUGAUUUUACAAGAGCUACUUGGACUCACCUUAUGUAUUCCAAAAGCAAUGCCUUUUCCAUUAUCAAGGCAUUCAUUGCCAUGGUCAAAACUCAAUUUCAGACUGUUGUAAGGGUCCAAGAGCAAUGCCUUUUCCAUUAUCAAGUCAUUCAUUGCCAUGGUCAAAACUCAGUUUCAGACUGUUGUACAAACCAUCAGGAGUGAUAAUGCUCUUGAACUUGGAACCAGCAAUGCUGGCCUCAAUUUCUUUGCUGAGAAUGGCAUCCUUCACCAAACAUCUUGUUCUCAUACACCACAGCAUAAUGGUGUAGUUGAGAGAAAACACAGACACCUUCUGGAAACCUCCAGAGCAUUACUCUUUCAGUCACACCUUCCUCUUAGAUUCUGGGGUGAUUGUGUCCUCACUGCCACCUACCUCAUCAAUAGAUAUCCUUCCAAAAUACUUAACAAUGCAUCUCCUUAUGAGUUACUUUUUGGACAGAGUCCUUCUUAUAACCAUCUUAGGACUUUUGGCUGCCUUUGUUUUGCUUCUGUACCCAAACAGCAUAGGGACAAAUUUCAUCCAAGAUCUGAUCCUUGUGUUUUCCUGGGAUAUCCACUGGGUAAAAAGGGAUACAAACUGUACAACUUGAAAACUAUUUUCUAAAAUAAAUAUGGAUGUCAGAGUAAAAUCGUGCCUAUUUUUCAGCUCUUGGUGUUGAAAGGGGUAUCUAUACCCGUUUUUUGUGUCACAUUUUAAUUUAUGUCCUCUUUGCAAAAAAAUUACAAGCGUACCCACUUUUUCACAUAACUUCAACACACGGGGCUGAAGUAGCAAAGACAAUCACGCAAAACUUCAGCAUUUAGUAGCCGAGUCUGAAGUUCAGCUCUAGAGUUGAAGUUUUUAUUUUAUAGCUGGCGAACUUCAGCUCUAGAGCUGAAGUUUUUGUUUUGUAACUGGAAAACUUCAGCUCUAGAGCUGAAAUUUUUAUUUUGUAACUCGAAAACUUCAGUCCUAGAGCUGAAGUUUUUGUCUUUGUAACCGGAAAACUUCAGUUAUAGAGCUGAAGUUAUUUAGUUCAUUGUAUGUUUACUACCCCAAAUAACACUUUUUUCACAUAACUUCAACUAUAGUUUUAUUUAAUUACUACUAAUUAUUCCCCACAAACUACAGAACAUUCAAUUUACUACAUUAUCAACCACUACGCAAGGCAAAGAAGAAAGAAGAAGAUGCAUUCUGUAAAAGAGAAAGUAAGACACGCAACGGAGAAAGCAGCAGCAAGGACAAAGGAAGAGAAAACGAUAGCAGAAGAGAGAAGGAAAUCAAAAGAAGAAGAAGCUAAAAUGGAACUGCAAUGAAGAAAGGGAGCUGAAGUUUUUUUUAAAACUUGGUACAAGUUAAAAGUUUUAAAAAAAUAGAUAUAGGUUAAGUGGGAGCGACUAAAUAGUGUGCCCCGCGUAAUUUUUAUUGUUGAAGAGAGUUCUACAAAGAGAGAUGUUUUGGACCACGGAAGGUUUUGGAGCAAUCUUUACGUAAAUAGCCGGUCAUAUAUACUGUUUACGUUUUACAAUUAUAUGCAUAUAUUAUAUAAUAUAUAUAUUAUAUGCUUACACCAGUUAUUUUUAAUUUAAGCGAUUGGGUAGAUCGUAGAUGGCUAUUUGGGUUAAUUCUUCUUUAGUUUUAUGUGGUGAAAUUUAGAAUAUUUAGCAUUCUAAUAUUCCGAUGAUCGUAAAAGUAUGCUUGCAAAUAUAUAUNNNNNNNNNNNNNNNNNNNNNNNNNNNNNNNNNNNNNNNNNNNNNNNNNNNNNNNNNNNNNNNNNNNNNNNNNNNNNNNNNNNNNNNNNNNNNNNNNNNNNNNNNNNNNNNNNNNNNNNNNNNNNNNNNNNNNNNNNNNNNNNNNNNNNNNNNNNNNNNNNNNNNNNNNNNNNNNNNNNNNNNNNNNNNNNNNNNNNNNNNNNNNNNNNNNNNNNNNNNNNNNNNNNNNNNNNNNNNNNNNNNNNNNNNAUAUAUAUAUAUAUAAAUUGUUAGAGAAAGUAUAUUUGUUUGGAUUAAGUGUGGCCACAUGUUGAAAAGUUUGACCUAAAUGGACUUAGUUUGAAUUGAAUUGAUAUAAAGAUGGACCUAUAUCACACGUUUACAUCUUAUACUACGUGAAGAAAAAGUUAGCUUUAGAAAUUCUUAUGAAGAUGCCUAGACGGAUACUUAACUACCUUUUUAGUUAUUCUGGUAAGAUUUAUUGGAAUUAAGAAAGUUAGGUUUAUGGAACAAGAAAGGGAGAAGGAGGGUAAUCAAUAAUCACAUAGGUAGUGUGUCUGUUAUGCAUAUUCUUUAUUCCAACCUAAGGCUUCUCAAUUAGAAUAUAUGAUGGUGCGAUUUCUCAAAUCUGUUUUUACCCCAUAAGGCAAAAAAGGAGGCCAAUUUUGUAUCCUUUUCAAUAAAUUUCUUUAUUCAAAAUUUUUGCUUAUCAAAACUGUCUAAAAGACUUAAUAAAACAAACUAUUGCCAAAAAAAAAAAACAAGUUAAAAAAAAAAAAUAAAAAUCACAAGGAGAAUCAUUCUUUCAGUUGAAAUCUAUGGCCAUUGCAGUUUAAAAUUGAGUAGGGGAAUGUUUUUCUUUUCCUUUGAUCCACACGCUUGAUAAAUCUUUAAGUACUCCCUCAUAUUCCCAAUAAGUGACCGAUUACUUUUUAUUUUGGUCAAAAAUAAGUGUUAAUUUAUAUAAUCAAGAAAAAAUUUAAUUUGGUUUUCCAAAAUUGCCUUUAUGAAGGUAUCCUAAAAAGUCUUUUAUUCAUCACAUUAAAUUUGUUGUAACAUUUAAUUAAGGGUAAUUUAAUCAUACUGACUAUUUCUGUCUAGAAUUUAGUAUUUACUUAAUAGGUGUGCUCAAACAAAUUGAUCACUUGUUAUGAAUAGCAGGAAUAUUAUUUUUUUCUCCCUCAUGGUUGUUUGGGAAAAGACUCCAAACGAAACUGGUGAUAUUAACUUAUUUCUCCCUCCGUUCCAAAAUAAGUGAAUUUUUGGAUAUUUUUGUAUCGAUUAAGAAAUCUAUCUUUUAGCAUUAUUAGCAAUAAAAUUGACGAUAUUAACUUUUACUAUCUCAUAUAAACACUCUUAAUACAUACUCCAACACUAUUUACUCCAAGGGCAAUGUAGGAAAAAAAUAAUUAAUUCAUUCUUGAAAUCUGAAAAAAUAACUUAUUUUGGAUCACAAAAAAAGGCCAAAAAAUUACUUAUUUUGGACCGGAGGGAAUAUUAUUAAAGACUUUUCUCAAAGCUUUCAAUCGUGCUAACAAGAACAAAAGAGUCGUAAUAUCCUUUAUUUGACCUUAGUUAACAAAUUAUCUAUUCAUGUAACACAUACUUGGAGUUGUCGUCAUUCAUUCUCUUUCAACUCUCUUUUUCUCUCUCUUUUAAUUACCUCUUUCUCUCUAGUUUCUUCUUACGUAGUGAAGAUUAUUUCCACUUGAUUAUGGUGUAUGGACAUGAAACAGAGACAUUUCUGGAGAUUUAGUUUCAUAAGAGAUCGAUAAAUAGGAAAUAAUAAAUAAAAUGUAAGACAUUUUUGUAAGAUUAUGUUUUUCUUUUCAAAUAGUAACUGUUGAUAUAAGAUUAUUUCUCCACAAAGCACAUGCUAGGAGGGUAUAUGUCAAAUUAUUAUGACUUAGUUACGUGUGUAUAUA